This 484-nucleotide ribosomal RNA is filed under the name uncultured bacterium. Its description in RNAcentral is "partial 16S ribosomal RNA". It matches the Rfam family "Bacterial small subunit ribosomal RNA", at positions 30 to 507 of the family's 1533-position model. The record is from RNAcentral.
AUUGAACGCUGGCGGCAGGCCUAACACAUGCAAGUCGAGCGGAUGAAGGGAGCUUGCUCCUGGAUUCAGCGGCGGACGGGUGAGUAAUGCCUAGGAAUCUGCCUGGUAGUGGGGGAUAACGUCCGGAAACGGGCGCUAAUACCGCAUACGUCCUGAGGGAGAAAGUGGGGGAUCUUCGGACCUCACGCUAUCAGAUGAGCCUAGGUCGGAUUAGCUAGUUGGUGGGGUAAAGGCCUACCAAGGCGACGAUCCGUAACUGGUCUGAGAGGAUGAUCAGUCACACUGGAACGGGGACACGGUCCAGCCUCCUACGGGAGGCAGCAGUGGGGAAUAUUGGACAAUGGGCGAAAGCCUGAUCCAGCCAGGCCGCGUGUGUGAAGAAGGUCUUCGGAUUGUAAAGCACUUUAAGUUGGGAGGAAGGGCAGUAAGUUAAUACCUUGCUGUUUUGACGUUACCAACAGAAUAAGCACCGGCUAACUUCGUG